CCCUGGAGAAAUCAACACCCCUCUUGGAUUUUUUCUGCAAGAAGGAGAGCAUAAUAAAGGAAUCAACACCAAUUGACUAGCUAGAUUACGUUUUAAACAGAAUGCAUAUAGUUUCUUCUCACUUUUUCAGCUCUUCUACUGUAAGUUCAUCAUUGCGGUAAACUUCAAAAUGGCAUCCUAGCUCUCCCAUAUACUGUAGAAAUAGAUAACAAU
RNAcentral lists this small RNA (213 nucleotides) under Arabidopsis thaliana (thale cress). Its description in RNAcentral is "ATSL018090". The record is from RNAcentral. Lineage: Eukaryota; Viridiplantae; Streptophyta; Magnoliopsida; Brassicales; Brassicaceae.